GCCGAGGCGGACCUCCGGCGUUCCCGCGUCUAGCUGUUGCUACCAGGGCAGUAUCCCUAGCUCCUGGCGGUUCUCAGGGCUUUACAGCCGCUCGUGAGCUCCGGAGCACCCCUGGGCUGCAGCUGCGAAGGGUGCAGGUCCCCUGGACCACUCACUCCUCCCACCUGGCACGGAGAGAGCUGGCUACCAAAGCCGUGCCGUUGACUUCACCUGAGUCAUCACUCAAGGCAGAGUGGUGCUGGAAGCUGCUGUUCAUGCCUCUGUCCACAAACUGAACACACGGCACAGAGAUGUUGCUCGCCUUGCCUGGUGCUUGUCUGCAGAGACCCGAGGGAGGGGAGCACCUGAUUCAACCAGGGACCCGUGGAUUGGUGGGGCCCGAGGACUAAGAGGAGGUGUAAGAAGCCACUGGGCAGUCACAGCGCUGGUGUGACUCUGGAAACGGGGACCUGAUGGGAAGAGCUUCGGACUAAAACGCUGUCAGCCAGGCCUGUGAGGGGUUCCCAGGCAGAUGUCAUCCCACUGGGGUCUCUUUGAGGCAAGAUGUAGGACACAGUGGCCAUUGUGAGCUUUGCUUGGGCUGGGGCUGGAGACCCUUGUGGCAGGGUCCCCCUUCCUCGGAAGCCUUCUCUCUUGGCGCUGGCGCCAGUCAGCCUGGCCUUCCUCCCUUCUGAAUUUUCCCAGCUUUGGAGGGAACCAUAGAUUUUUGCCUGUGGCUGGGCUGGGGUGGGCGCCCCCUUGUGGUCAGUGUCUUCUCCCCCUUUUCUUUCCUGUUUUGAGUUGUUUUUCAAGGUGUGGUCUCACUCCCUGUAGCCAAGCUGUCUUAGAACCUGUGAGUGCGGGGAGGUGACAGCGGUGAGUGCCUCACCUGGAUAAGUGUGUCACUUCUGUGGUCAGUUUCAGCCCCACGUGAAUCCCAGGUCUCGGGUCCUUGUCGGGCUGACCAUCUCUGCCGCAUGCUUGCAGGUCUGCUGGUGUUCCUUCUGCGCAGGCGCAGCCUCUGUUGCCUGGCUGGAUAUCACAUCAGCUUCCUGCCUUUGCUCUUCCCGAGGAAUGAAACCCAAACUAAGCAGAGCCCCAGAAGACCUGGAGGGAUGCUUCUUUAGGCUGUGUAGCCAACCUGAUGAGCCAUGCUGGGAUGGUGCCUACAGCCUCACCACCCUGUAGCUGGGGGAGCAUCAGCUGGAAAGAUGGCGGUCGCUCAGCAGGGGGCUGCUCCACACUGCCCUUGGGCCAGGCAGUAGGAGGACAGGCUGGGCUGCCAGCAAUCCCCUCAGGGAUCAGUCCUGGUGAUACAAUGAUCCGCCUCGCCACUCCCAGAAGACAAGCCAAACCUCCAACCCCUGGCUUCUAGAGGAACCUGUUCGGUAACUCUGAUUUGUGUGAAGUGGACAAAAACUAUCCUGCUCGGUGCUAGUCCUCAAGAUUCAAACCCAGUGUUUGAAGCUGUGCAUAUGGCUUGCUCUUCUCUCCCUAGUGACACAGAGCAGGAAUGUACACACUUCUGUUGCUCUUCCACACGGCACAUGAGAGCUGAGGUGUAGACAGAGCGGAUGCCUGUACCAUCCUGUUCGAUGAAGCGUGCCUCCUCUCAUCUGCCAGCCAAAGCCGCUUGGGGCAAGCGGGCAGACUCAUGCACCUGAUGAGCUGAGUAUCAUCAUGGAGACUGAGGAUACAGCUCGGAGGCAGAGUAUUUGCCUAGCACACAGGAGGCCCUGGGUUCAGUCUGCAGCACUGAAAAAAAGAUUUCUAGAGCAGCCUUCAGCCUCUGCACUAAUUGUCUGUUACUGAGUACCAUCUACCUUAAACAAGAAUUUUUAAAUAAAGAAACUCUAAAGAUGUA
This is a long non-coding RNA of Meriones unguiculatus (Mongolian gerbil), 1843 nucleotides long. RefSeq lists it as uncharacterized. The transcript is spliced from 9 exons. The record is from RefSeq and is a predicted model, not a curated record. NCBI's taxonomy places the organism in Eukaryota, Metazoa, Chordata, Mammalia, Rodentia, Muridae.